Molecule: ribosomal RNA, 446 nt
Filed under: uncultured bacterium
Lineage: Bacteria
Description: partial 16S ribosomal RNA
Rfam family: Bacterial small subunit ribosomal RNA
Source: RNAcentral
CCUACGGGCGGCAGCAGUCGAGAAUCAUUCACAAUGGGGGAAACCCUGAUGGUGCGACGCCGCGUGGGGGAAUGAAGGUCUUCGGAUUGUAAACCCCUGUCAUGUGGGAGCAAAUUAAAAAGAUAGUACCACAAGAGGAAGAGACGGCUAACUCGGUGCCAGCAGCCGCGGGAAUACAGAGGUCUCAAGCGUUGUUCGGAAUAACUGGGCGUAAAGCGUGCGUAGGCUGUUUCGUAAGUCGUGUGUGAAAGGCGCGGGCUCAACCCGCGGACGGCACAUGAUACUGCGAGACUAGAGUAAUGGAGGGGGAACCGGAAUUCUCGGUGUAGCAGUGAAAUGCGUAGAUAUCGAGAGGAACACUCGUGGCGAAGGCGGGUUCCUGGACAUUAACUGACGCUGAGGCACGAAGGCCAGGGGAGCGAAAGGGAUUAGAUACCCUUGUAGUC